Molecule: non-coding RNA, 119 nt
Filed under: Actinomyces sp.
Lineage: Bacteria; Bacillati; Actinomycetota; Actinomycetes; Actinomycetales; Actinomycetaceae
Also listed under: 1 other name
Description: FMN sequence
Rfam family: FMN riboswitch aptamer (RFN element)
About the family: The RFN element is a highly conserved domain that is found frequently in the 5'-untranslated regions of prokaryotic mRNAs that encode for flavin mononucleotide (FMN) biosynthesis and transport proteins. This element is a metabolite-dependent riboswitch that directly binds FMN in the absence of proteins.
Source: RNAcentral
GGUGUGCUCCGGGGUCGGUGUAAUUCCGAGCCGGCGGUUAAAGUCCGCGAGCCGCUUCGGCGGUUGAGCUGGUGAAACUCCAGCACCGACGGUUAAAGUCCGGAUGGGAGGAGCUCGCU